AAAAAAAAAAAAAAAAAAAAAAAAAAAAAACUGUCAACCCCUUACUUGGAGUAUUUUUAAACGCCCAAUUAG
RNAcentral lists this non-coding RNA (72 nucleotides) under Prorocentrum micans. Lineage: Eukaryota; Dinophyceae; Prorocentrales; Prorocentraceae. The record is from RNAcentral.